RNAcentral lists this ribosomal RNA (429 nucleotides) under uncultured bacterium. RNAcentral describes it as "bacterial SSU rRNA". It matches the Rfam family "Bacterial small subunit ribosomal RNA", at positions 355 to 775 of the family's 1533-position model. The record is from RNAcentral.
UGGGGAAUCUUGCGCAAUGGACGAAAGUCUGACGCAGCGACGCCGCGUGGGCGACGAAGGCCUUCGGGUUGUAAAGCCCUGUGGGGCGGGACGAACACUCUCUAGACGAAUAGGCUAGGGAGCUGACGGUACCGCCUUAGCAAGCACCGGCUAACUCUGUGCCAGCAGCCGCGGUAAGACAGAGGGUGCAAACGUUGCUCGGAAUUACUGGGCGUAAAGCGCGUGUAGGCGGUUCCGCAAGUCAGGUGUGAAAGCCCAGGGCUCAACCCUGGAAGUGCACAUGAUACUACGGAGCUUGAGUACUGAAGAGGAGAGCGGAAUUCCCGGUGUAGAGGUGAAAUUCGUAGAUAUCGGGAGGAACACCAGUGGCGAAGGCGGCUCUCUGGGCAGAUACUGACGCUGAGACGCGAAAGCAUGGGGAGCAAACAG